This 177-nucleotide ribosomal RNA is filed under the name Microbacterium sp. dulse 8. Its description in RNAcentral is "partial 16S ribosomal RNA". It matches the Rfam family "Bacterial small subunit ribosomal RNA", at positions 1200 to 1375 of the family's 1533-position model. Lineage: Bacteria; Bacillati; Actinomycetota; Actinomycetes; Micrococcales; Microbacteriaceae. The record is from RNAcentral.
CCUUAUGUCUUGGGCUUCACGCAUGCUACAAUGGCCGGUACAAAGGGCUGCAAUACCGUGAGGUGGAGCGAAUCCCAAAAAGCCGGUCCCAGUUCGGAUUGAGGUCUGCAACUCGACCUCAUGAAGUCGGAGUCGCUAGUAAUCGCAGAUCAGCAACGCUGCGGUGAAUACGUUCCC